GGACAAUUGCUCAGUUGUAGAGCAUUUGCUCUGCACACAGAAGGUCUCAGGUUCAAUCUCUGGCAUCUCCA
Non-coding RNA from Podarcis lilfordi (Lilford's wall lizard), 71 nucleotides. Lineage: Eukaryota; Metazoa; Chordata; Lepidosauria; Squamata; Lacertidae. The record is from the annotation of a GenBank genome assembly.